Molecule: ribosomal RNA, 200 nt
Filed under: uncultured bacterium
Lineage: Bacteria
Description: partial 16S ribosomal RNA
Rfam family: Bacterial small subunit ribosomal RNA
Source: RNAcentral
ACGCUCGACACCUACGGGAGGCAGCAGGUGGGGAAUAUUGCACAAGUGGGGGAAACCCUGAUGCAGCGACGCCGCGUGAAGGAAGAAGUAUUUCGGUAUGUAAACUUCUAUCAGCAGGGAAGAAAAUGACGGUACCUGAGUAAGAAGCACCGGCUAAAUACGUGCCAACAGCCGCGGUAAUCUGAGCGGGCUGGCAAGGC